Hemicordylus capensis (graceful crag lizard) is the source of this 1871-nucleotide long non-coding RNA. RefSeq lists it as uncharacterized. The record is from RefSeq and is a predicted model, not a curated record. NCBI's taxonomy places the organism in Eukaryota, Metazoa, Chordata, Lepidosauria, Squamata, Cordylidae. The transcript is spliced from 5 exons.
GGGUGGAGGAAGGAAGGAAGGAAACUGGCAGGGGCUGGCAGGUGGAGGAAGGAAGGAAACAGCAACAGAGCUCUUCAGUUUUGGGUUGUUUCCAUAUGAGGACCAAUUUGCAAUGAUAACAGCAAAUGACCAAAAUAAUUCUGUGGGUCCAGAUAUCUGCUAUAACUCAACAGCUCCUUCUCUAUAAAAUAAUGUCCAUGUGAAGAUUAAGAAGCUCGAUGAUGACUGACUUACUUGUCAAGGACAUGGACAUUUCUCUCCUCUGCACACCGCCGCAACUUGUUGAAGGUCUAAGAGUGUGUCCUCAAGGACCAUAAUAUAUAUUAAAUGAAACCAAGCAUUUCACCUUGAGACUGACACUUUCUCUUUGUAUUUUAAAAAAGCUUUUUAAAAUAACCACAUUAAUAUUCUCAGUUCCACAACAAACUCGAACUCCAAAUGCUGAGGCCUAAGAAAACCCCAAAUCUAAACUGAGCCAAAUAUGAAUCUCUAUUGUAGCCAUCACUUGUUCUGUUAGUUUGCUAGUAGUUGCUUACAGAUGUCAAAGAAACCACAAAUACCUGAGUGUAAACUCCUUGGAAGCGCUGCUGUACUUCGUUUUGGAUGAAAAUCAAAACUGAAAAGCUCUGCAAGAUUGAUUUUUUUCAUUUGUCAUGAAGAGCAGCAGAUAGAGUUCCACAAGACUUAGCAUUCUGUCACCAAGAUACUUUUGUUUACUUCUGUCACUAGGCAACCAGAAUGCUUACUUUCAGACAGGGAAGUACAAAGGAGAAUUAAGAGCUGUGGCUGUUACACUGAACAGCCGCCAAGUGGUCCAAUACCCACUUCUUCUUCUUUUUGCCUCCUGCCUACCUCUCAGCGUGACUGCUCCCGGCCAGCCGUGCUCUGCGCAGACUCACUCACUGAAGCUGAGAGCAUGCCGACUGAGUGACAUCAUGCAUUGCAGCAGCAGCAGCAGGAAGGAGUGCUGGAGGUUUGAAGCCAAGCUGCUGACUGGAGCCUGCCUGGGGGCUGUAUAAAAGCCGUGUUUCGUUUUUUGUUGCUGACAGACUGACUCACAUGAAGGCAAGGGGUAAAGUAAAUGCAAGUCGUAUUAGGCAGGGGGAGAGGAAGAAGAAUGUAAAGGAAAAGAAACUGCCUGAGGGCUGCAUGCAUAAUCUCAUUGUUCUGCUAUGCUGACUGACCCUCAAGAAGGCAAGGCAGGGGGAGGACAGUAAACAAAACUUUUAUUUUUAAAAGUAACCAUCCGGUCCAGAGAACAAAUGGAAUGUGAAGAAAACAAAUGAAAAAAGAGGGAGAGAUGACAAGAAAGGGGUGGGGGCUGCCUUGGAACUGCUGUCUCACAAGAAGGGAAGGAACAAUGGAAGCUUCUGAUUUUCUUUUUCCACAUGGCAACAUCAGCUGCUAGACGUCCAAAAGCCUUUAAACUAACUGCGUCAUAAACAACAAAGGUACUCUGAGAGAUCCUCAGCUCUUCCUCAGUAGCAUGUUGAGUACCAUCCGACCUGAAAGGCCCAUCAUCCAGCACUACAUCAACAAUCAUUCUAUUUUGUCUAUCCAUGUGGUUUUCUUGGUAAAAUACAGGAGUGGUUCAUCAUUGCCUUCUCCUGCACAGUAUGAAAUGAUGCCUUCAUUGUUGUCACUGAAGUGAUCGUCCGCCUCCAGCACCUUGCUAUAUCGCUGCUGCCCAAUAUAGGUGCCUGCUUACUUUAGCUGUGCAGCUGGGAUGACCUUCGCGCUUUGGGUGACCCUACUGCGAGUAUACCUCCUGACGUACUUCACUCAUCUCUCCCAGGAACACCCCUCGCCACCACAAUAAGGCAGCAUAGCAGGAUCUGGGGGGACUUGGUCUGCUCUAGCUCAGUGGAAAU